GAUGAACGCUGGCGGCGUGCUUAACACAUGCAAGUCGAACGUGAGAAUAGCAAUAUUUGAAAGUGGCAAACGGGUGAGUAACACGUGGGAACCUGCCUUGGAGUGGGGGAUAACGGCUGGAAACGGUCGCUAAUACCGCAUGGUUCUACCUUAAUGGGAAUGAGGUAGAUAAAGAUUAAUUGCUCUAAGAGGGGCCUGCGGCCGAUUAGCUAGUUGGUGAGGUAAAGGCUCACCAAGGCGAUUAUCGGUAGCUGGUCUGAGAGGACGAUCAGCCACACGGGAACUGAGACACGGUCCCGACUCCUACGGGGGGCAGCAGUGAGGAAUAUUGGGCAAUGGGCGAAAGCCUGACCCAGCAACGCCGCGUGGAGGAUGAAGGCUCUAGGGUUGUAAACUCCUUUUGUGGGGGAAAAGAGAGGAUGGUACCCCAAGAAUAAGUCACGGCUAACUACGUG
Molecule: ribosomal RNA, 455 nt
Filed under: uncultured organism
Description: bacterial SSU rRNA
Rfam family: Bacterial small subunit ribosomal RNA
Source: RNAcentral